UACGAAGGGUGCUAGCGUUGUUCGGAAUUACUGGGCGUAAAGCGCACGUAGGCGGAUCGAUCAGUCAGGGGUGAAAUCCCAGAGCUCAACUCUGGAACUGCCUUUGAUACUGUCGAUCUAGAGUAUGGAAGAGGUGAGUGGAAUUCCGAGUGUAGAGGUGAAAUUCGUAGAUAUUCGGAGGAACACCAGUGGCGAAGGCGGCUCACUGGUCCAUGACUGACGCUGAGGUGCGAAAGCGUGGGGAGCAAACAGG
This 253-nucleotide ribosomal RNA is filed under the name uncultured bacterium. Its description in RNAcentral is "partial 16S ribosomal RNA". It matches the Rfam family "Bacterial small subunit ribosomal RNA", at positions 524 to 776 of the family's 1533-position model. The record is from RNAcentral.